RNAcentral lists this long non-coding RNA (13841 nucleotides) under Coffea arabica (coffee). RNAcentral's name for it is "long non-coding RNA (CARA_LNC006493)". Lineage: Eukaryota; Viridiplantae; Streptophyta; Magnoliopsida; Gentianales; Rubiaceae. The record is from RNAcentral.
GGAGGUGCCCAGGCUAUAACCUUGGACUCAAACUUGUUCAAUCAACGUUGGCCAACUUGUUGCAUGGAUUCAACUGGAAAUUGCCUCAUGGCAUGAAACCAGAAGAAAUUUGCAUGGAAGAAAUCUACGGACUCACAACUCAUCCAAGGACUCCACUUGCUAUGAUCCCAGAACCACGUUUGCCGGUCAAUCUCUACUAGAGAUCGUAUGAUUUAUGGGAAAAUUGAAAUAUGUUCCUUGUUGGCAUAAUAAACCAAACCUAAAAAUUGCUAGUGUAAGAUUUUUAGUGGUUGUGUGAUUUAGAAAUUUAUAUUUUAUUUGGUAAUUUCUUAUAUAAGUGGUUUCUUUCUCAACAAGUUUGCUAGGUUAUAAAUAAGACAUUAUUUAGUAUAUUUUUCAAGAGAGUCCAGAAAGGGUCUGUAAGGUUUUAUUAUGGUAUAAGUUUCUUCUACUAUUUUGAAAUAUCAAUAAUAGUGUGAAUUAUUUAUUUCUUUUGUCUCUCAUAAAUAUGUUAGUGAUUGUUUCAUCCUUUAAUCUAUAACCCUACACGCCUUAAUUAUUAUUAGAACUUUAAAAUUUGGAAUCUACAAUUGGUAUCACGAGCCAGACACGAGGUUAGUAUUGGGCGUUUCCAUUGUCGGAGAGUUAAGGUGUUUUUGCUGUAAGGGAAUUAAGGCACAAAUUUAUCGAAAAGUAUUCGAUUGAUUAAAUUAGACCACAAGGUUGGUCUUGAAGUGUAUAGUUGGCGAAAAAUUCAAUCACAAGAUUGGCUCAAAAAUUAUUAGAUUGUUACAGGUGUUAUGACAGAGAUCAGAGAAGAAUCUUGUCAGAGUGGUUGAUUGCUGUGGAUUGUUAGAUUGAAGAAUUUAAUUAGUUAAUCAACCAAGGAGGCCAAGAAACUUGACAAAAGAGGAAAGAAUUUGUUGAUAUACGUGCGUUAUUAAUGAUGGAUGUGUUUUGAGAUCUAUGUAAUAAUGAAAGGUAUAGCAUACUAGCUCCUAAAUAUAAAAGUCGGGAAUCAUAUUAUUGUUGAUUUUUAAGAGUAAAACAGUAUCUCGAACAAUGCAAUUUAGAUGAUUUUUUUGAUGGAUUGUUACAAAUGAAUUUCCAAAACAUGUUUUCAAGAGGAAGGCUAGAUUAUUUUUUUCAAGUUAUGUGAAAAACAAUGUUUGACUAUCUUUUCAAAAUAUUUGUUCAUCGUACUAAAAUACUUUGUAUAUUUUGGAAGAAUAUUUAUUAUGUUUUGCAAACUAUUGAAUUGAAUGAUGCUUUUAAAUCAAAAUUUGGUUAUUGGAUAUGGUUAGUUGAUUUUGAGAGUGAUAGAUUUGUAGAUGACAUGGGUGAUUUAGAAGAUUUUGAAUGGGUUGAUAGUUUAAAUUUGCAUACCAUAUUUGGAGAAAUUGGGAGUGAUGAUUUUGUUGAAAAAAAAAGAAUGUGUUAAUUUGACAAAGAAAGAAGAAAAUUUUGAUUUGAUAAGAGAAGAAGAAUAUGAAAUUGCUAUUGAAAAAUUUGUUGGUUUGGACUCUCUUCAAGAUGAUGGUAAGAUGUUUGAUUUGAUAGAUAUGGAUUUAUCGAAGUUGAAAAAUUUUUUACUUCUAAAGAAUUGAUUGACAUUGUGAAAUUUUUUGGUAUAAGAAUGCAAACUAUAAUUUUGUAUUCUUGGGCACUUACGUUGGUAGUAAAUAUGGUGACUUUCGUGAUGAAUGGUUUUGUCUGAAUAAGUGCUUUGAUCAAAAGGAAAUUAUUUGCAAAAUACAAAGUGCAUCCACUGCCACGAGUAAAGAUGAAAUAAAAAUUAGCAACAAGAUAGAGUUGCAUAUCAAUUACACUAUGACAUAGAUUUGCAUGGAGAUUGUUACUAGAGAUGGAGUUAAACCUAUCUCAAUGAAGAGUUUGGUUUAAGGGAGGCAAUGUUGACAAAAUAAGCCAAGCCUAAAAUUUUCUAUUCAUUUAUUUACCAAUUUUAUUGGUAUCAGAUUUUCAGUAGUUGUAUGGUUUAAAAAUUUGUGUUUUAUUUGGUAAUUUCUUAUGGUAGUGAUUUCAUUAACAAGUUUGUGUGGUUAUAAAUAGGACAUUAUUUAGAGUGUUUUCUCAAGAGAGUCCAUAAUGAGUCUAUGAGAUUUUAUUAUGGUGUGACUUUCUUUCAUUGUUUUGAGAUAUCAAUAAUAGUGUGAAUUAUUUAUUUCUCUCCAUGGUUGUAAAUAUUUGAGUGAGUGUUUUAUCUUUCAAUCUAUAAAUCUAUAUGCAUUAAUUAUUAUUAGAACUCUAUUUAAAAUUUGGGUUCUACAUUCCUACGCUGUAUCACUCAAUGGUUGAACUCAUUCUCUGCUCUCCAAUUGUAUUAUGCCCUUUUAAUCGCUUAGCCCAUUGAAAGUGUAGUGAUCGACAAAUUCCUGCAAGUACACAGGGGUCAAUCAGAAUAAUAAUUCACCAGAAAUAUUUUAGGGAUUGAACCCACAUGGAGGAGUCAAUUUUCUACUUUAAUUACCGCAACAAAAUAAUGAAAUUUAAAUUCAAAGGGUUUUUAAUCACUAAUUAAGAAAUUGAAUAAAUAAUCAAAUCAAAUCAAAUAUAGGUGAGAAAAUAAUUGGCAAAAGACUAGGGUUUAGGUUUUGAUCUAGAUUUUGAAUUAUUUAUCUAGUUAAUUUCGUAACAUGUCAAGAAUAUAUCAUGCAAAAGUAUUAUAGAUUACCUUUUGAUACAUCCAAAUUGCGCCCAAUUAAAUUUCAUGUCUCUCGCAAAAUUAUAAAUAUUUAAUUAGGAGAUAAUUUUAGAAACCUUCCCUGAGGUUUCUGACAAUUUCACUCACAUCCCUUCAGAUUUGAAUAAUUACACUAACCUCCCUUCAUAUAGCUAAAUGAUUAUAAUAUCCUUCACUUAUAAAUAAUUCCUACAAACAAAAUAAAAAUCCCCCACAACUACAACUAGCUUUCCAUUCUAAAGCAACGGUUGCCACAUAAAAUAACUCUUAUUCUCUCUCUCUGACUCUUCCUCCUACUUUCUUUCUCCUGCAUCUCAUAAUUCACUAUUUUUUUCAUAACUGCCAUCUACACAACCAUCUAAUACAUCUCGAAUCCUUAUUAUUAUGGAAAUAGAUACUCUCUCUUUUUUUGUAAGUAUUAUUGAAUUAAAAUUGUUAAAUGACAAGUUAUCGGAUCAGAUUUAUUGUCAAACUAAAUGAAGAUGAAAAUGAUGAUGAUGAUACAGAAUAUAGACAAGAAAAUAAAACUGAUAGCUAAAAAGGAAACAUGGAUUGAGGAAGAUUGUGUUAUUAUGUCAAUUGUGUAAAAAAGAAUUUUGGGAUAAAUACUGCAAUUUGAUUUGCCUGGAGGGAUGUUGUUUCUAGUGUUGCUUUUGGUUGCUCUAUGUUGGUUUUCUUGGUGGAUUAUAUUAUUUUAGCAUUAACAAAGUUGUAGCAUUUUGGAUUGAGUUUGGAUAGUGACAUUGAUCAAUUCAAGCACAGAAUUUAGACCCAAAAAAAUGAGGCUAAAGAUUAGGUGAAUGCAAACUUUUAUUGUCACUGUUAAUUUGUAUAGGAAGUUUUGGGGUAGCAAUGGUAUGCUGUCAAAAUUGUGAGAAUAUGGGGAUUAAACUGAAGUAAUUUAUUGAGUUUGUUAAGGUAGUAGUUAUGUUGUUUACAAUAUUUGUAACGUGGAAGAAAUUUAUUAGUGUGGUUUUUCGCUUCUAAGUAACAUAGGGGAACUUUAGGAUUUUUGAGAACAAAUUUAGUAUAUUGAGUCUAUAUUGUUACUGAAAUGCUGACCAUAAGGAAGGUAGGUGUAAUUUUUUAAACUAGAGAUGAGUUUCCUGUAAUAAUAAAAAAUCUCAGGAGAGGUUUUUGAAAUUAUCCCUUAAUCAAAUGCUUUAAGAUCUUAGCUGAUUUAAUUACGUUAUACAAAUUCUAACUUACUGUCGUGAUGGGGUUAAGCAUAUUUAUCUAUUUAGUGCAUGAUUAUAUAUCUCUUUUCAGUUCAAUACAAAUCUUAAAAGCAUGUCUAUGGUUGCUAAUCGCAACCAUGUAAUUAAAACAAGAUAAAUAAAUCAAGACAACAGUAAAAAAUUUAACUAGAAUAAAUAAUCAAUUUUCUUCAAAGAAUCCUAAGCCUAGAAGUAAAUUAGUUCAUCAUAAUUGUAAGAAUAAACAAGAAUUGAAUAUUGAAAAUACAAGACUUCAAAUAAAGAGUAAGAAAAGUUUCUUACCGAUUCCAAAUCCCAUGUCUUGACUGUCAAUCUCGAUUCUUCAAUUCCUAAAGAAAGCCAUAGAACUAAUGUUUUGACAAGUGUUUUAUCUCCUAAAAAUGUUCUAAGUACUCCCAUUUCUAUAAUCUUAAAAUUAAAGAAACGAGCCCCGCAUAGUUUUUCGAUGACAUCCGGUGACAAGUCCAGCGCCGCAGGACUUUGAGCUUGCAUGUCACGCACAACUUUCAUCCAUUCUUCUUCAGGAUCAAUUUUCCACGCGUUUGGAAUACAUUUCCUCCUCGAUCUCACUUUUUUACAAGUUAGGAUCCAAUUAAAGCACAAAAAGGCAUAAUCAACCAAUAAUUUACAUACGUAACAUUGCUAAAAUCCACACCCUACUAGAGAGCUUGGAAGUUGGGACAGUAAAUUUCACCUAAGAAAACUUUAAAGAGACAAUAUUCCUUUUGGUGAUUUCAAUUGUGAAACAAAACAAAAGUCACAAUCAAAAAAUUUUUUUGCCACAAAACGAGAGCCAAAAUAUCACAAUUAUAACAUGUGGAAGAAUUCACAUGGAAAUAUUGAAGAUUGAAGAAAGAGAUAAAUAAAUAAAUAAAUAAAAAUAGCGCCCUUGUUACUUGUUAGCAAAUAAAAUAGGUACACAACGGAAUUAAAUAUCCUACCUAUACUAAAAGCAGGAGCUUACAAUUGAGAUUGGAAUUGGGUUGACUUGAUUGUCCCUUUAUUCCAAAGCUGAUUGGACCGUUUUUGUGGUAGCAAUUGUUGUGAUUCUGAGCAACUUCAGUGGCAAUUGAUAACAUACGUCUUCUUGGUCUCUUUUUCCGCUUCCAUUAAAACUCUGACCCCAUGGGAUAGCUGAAGGUCAGGGUUCAACCCUGCCUCCCACAAACUUAUCACUUUAUGUGGCUGGUCUUCUGCCCUCACGGGAUAGCUCGAGCGGUCCGCUCUCCCCUACUUAGGGUAUGGCCGACCUUUUUGGUUUGUCCAGGAUUCGAGUCCCCGCUGUUAACGUACUCGAAGUGGAGUGGGGCGUCCUCUUCCGAGCCGCAGGGGAUUAAUCGGGCCCCGUAAGGAUUGACCCGGACACCCCUGUGUUGACAAAAAAAAAAAUAAAAAUUAAAACUCUGACAGGACGGAAUGAUAAAGCAGGUAAGUAGCCAUUGUUCCAAUUACACACCAAUUUCAUGCUUAAUCCCCCUCACCCCCCUCAAUUUUGCUUUUCCACGUAAAUUUGUUUUUUUUUCUGAUUAACUUUUUUUUAAGGCUUUUUUUUUAUGGAAUUUUGUUUCAGUAGGUUUUUGUUAACUAAUUUGUACCUUUUUUUUUUUUUUUAAUGAACUAUGAAUUCUCGCAAAAUUGAAACUCUAGACAAAUGGAAGGGAGGGAUGUGCUAAACAGGUUUAAGUCAAUCAAUUUGCCUUGCAAUUGUCCAAAGUAUUAAAGAAAUUAAUGUCGUUUCUUAUAGUCCAAUUAAGUUGUGCUGAUACGAUGAUGACAUAAAGUACCUUGCACCAUAAAGUUUAGUUAAUGACAAUUUAGUACAUAAAACUUCUAUUUCAUGCUACAAUCCAAUUCAUAACUGUAUGCUAAUGAUGGUUGAACAUAUAUAAGUUACACAUUUGAGAAGCAAAAUUAUCCUAGUCUCUUUAGCAUUGAUGAAUUAGUGUUUAAUUAUGGCAUUUCAAUUUAACCGUUGACAAGUAAUUGUGUGACAAGUCCCUGAAAAAUGAUUGUCAAUAUGAGAUAGAGAUAGAGAUAAAAGUAGGAUGUAUCUAAUUUUACAUUUCUCUUAUCAGAAUUGUUGAAGAGUCUGGAAAAUAUCCCAAUAACAACAGUCUCUAAUCCAUGAAAAAAAAAAUAAUCUUAUUCAUCAAAGUCAUGAUUUUGAUAUCCUUCAACGAAAGUAACACAGACUUGCUUUUUUUUUUUUUUUUUUUGAGCCCAAAAACUUCCCAGUACUUUCCAAUUUGUUGGUUAAUGGAAUAUGAACUUUCUCAAUAUAGUUCAUUGACUAUUUAUCCAUAAUUUUAACAGAUUCUUCUCAUGGCAUGAAACUUAUCUAAUAAUAAAUUCAAAAUAGUCAUAAUUGAUAUUUCAGGAUAGCCGCAAAAGCAAUUAGUAAAUGGAAACGUUUAAUGAAGAAAGUAAAAUCAAUGCAUGUAUGGCAACCUUUGAAUCUAUUACUUGAGUUAACAUUGGUUAAUUCAACUAUUACGUUUUAAAUUAUUUUUCAACUAUUAUGUUUUAAAUUUCAAUGCAUGUUCUAUUAUUUAUUAUGUGUUUGUUUGGAUAGUGCAUUAUUUAGAAUAAUUACUAUAUUACAUUUUGUGAUGUAAUGUAUGUGAAAUAAAAAGAUGAUUGGGAAUAUAAAAAAUUCGGUUAGAAAAUAUAUUUAUGAUGCAAGCGAAAUAUUAUUUUAAAAAAUUUGGUAUCCAAACACUCAUGAUUCAUACCACUAUUUUUGGAAAAAUUUGGAAAAAUUCAUAACAUGAUUCAUAACACUAACUACUAUUUUUUGGAAAAAUUCUUGGAUAUUAUAGUUUUUCUUACCAGUAUUUUUUUUAAAGAUUUAUCUCAUAUUCCAAUGUUGUCCAAUGAAAACUACAGGGAAUGGAAGAACACAAGAUUCUUCGGACAUUAGAAUGCAUGGAUCUUAAUUUGGCAUUUCGUGAGAAUAAACCACUCAUUCCCCUAUAUUCUAAUUUGUCAAACGAAAGGGCUGCUUAUGAGCAUUACGAGCAAUUUAAUCGCUUAACUUUGAUACUCAUUAAGUCACAUAUCAGCAAAGCAUUAGGGUUUUAACUGCUAACUGUAACCAAGUCAAAGCUUACAUGAUGAUAAUUGAUAAACAUUUUGUAAUCUCUAACAAGGCCUUGACUAGCACUCUUACGAAGAAAUUUGCCAAAUUGGGUGAUAUAAAUUACCAAAUUUGCCAAAAGUGGAAUGUGAAAUUCCUCCAAAAUUCAUGGAAGGAAAAGAAAUAAUCAAGACUUCAAUAAUGGAAACGGAAGCAAGAAUAACGCUACGCAAGACGGCGUGGACUUCAAUUGUUUUUGUUUUUCCAGUGUUCAAUUCCUUUGGAGUUUCAAUAUUUGGAUUGUGGUUUUUUAAGAAAAAAAUUUUACAAUUUUCAUGAAUAUAUUUUUUAAUAUCUUAUUAUCUUAUAUAUAUAUAUUAAAUUAUUAUAGUAUAUUUUUUACAAAAACUUUAAAAAAAUAACAAUCUAAACGCAACUGCAGCGCUAGUGCUUGGCAAGCUUGAAACAAUCCUCUCGAAUUAAGGCUUCCCUAUUCUGUCUAUCCCACAUCGUUCUUGGGGGGUUAAGGGUUGGGUAGUUAAGUUUCCAAGUUUGCCUCAAAAGUUACCGACUUUUGAGGUUAAAUUUGAAAUUAGGUUUAAUUAAACAAUUUCUUACUUCUGUAAGAAAAGGAAAAAGAAUUAAGGUGUGAUAAUUUUGACAAAAAAAAAUGAAGGUGUGAUAAUGCUGCACGUCAUCUCGAUUUUUCAGAUUCCUACUUCUUCUAUACCUUGACAAAAGACAUGUCUAUGUCUGGCAGGAAGUGUGAUAAUGCUGUACGGCAUCAACAAUUUUUCAGAUUCCUACAACUUCAAUACUUUGACGGGAUAAUUUUAAAAACCUCCCUUGGGAUUUUGAUAAUUUUACUCUGCUUUCCUCAAGUUUAAAUAAUUAGGCUUACUUCCCUUGACAUAAUAAAGGACCUAUAAUGACCUUCACUUAAUAGACAAUUCACAGUAUAAUACAAUAUAUAUUUGGAAAACCCAAAAAAAAAAUCAUAUUUUUCUAUGUCUUGCCUAACUCCACUCUUCUCUUUUCUAGUUAUUAUACUAUUAUACCCUCUUUUUUUUCUUCAAUUUUAUAGAUAUUACCAAAUUGAAAUUGUAAAAUUAAUAGUUCAAUUGAGGGACUGAAUUAUAUAUCAAAUUAGAAAAAAAUGAAGAGAUUUGGAGUGAUAGAGAAAAAAAUAACGAAAUUAAUGAUUGAAACAGGUUGGAGGAUCAAAGAUGGGAAAUUUACCAUAUAUAUAUAUAUAUUUUUUUUUUCUGUGGCAAGCAUUGAUGAUCCUUUGGAUAGUUGCUUUGAUUUGGAAUUAGAGUUUUUACUUAGGUGGUUGUUAUGAAUUGGGAUGGUCAAUUUGUGAUAAGUGUGGAAGAAAAGGAUUGAAUAUAUUGUAUUUUUCCUCAAAGGGUAAUUUAGAUUUUGAGAAAAAAUCUUUAGUUUGUUGGUCCUAUAUUAUUAUAUAAACAAUAAAAGUUAGGAUUUAGAUGUAAUUUUUAAAACUUCAAAAGAGCUUUUGGCAAUUAUGAAAAAUCUUAAGGAAGGUUCAUGAAAUUAUCCCAUACUUUGACAAAAGACAUGUCAAUGUCAGCAAGACGUGUGAUAAUGCUGCACGCAUCAAUGAUUUUUCACAUCCCUACAACUUCAAUACUUUGACAAACGACAUAUCUAUGUGGCAAGGAGUGACAUAAUAUGACAAAGAGCAAAUUUUCUAAAUAGUCCUUCAACUUUUUAACUAAUUCAUGUUUGGUCCUUCAUCUUAAAAAUGAGAUAGAAUGAUCCUUCAAUAAAAUUUUUUAGACCAAAUUGGUUCUUAUAUGGCAUAGCAGCCAAUAAAAAGUUCGAUCAAAGUGGUGAUGAGAUUUGAAUUUUCUUGCCUGUUCUGUCACAUAGGGAUCAAUUCGGCCUAAAAAAUUUCAUUGGAGGGCCAUUAUGUCCCAUUCUUAAGAUGAAGGAUCAAAUAUGAAUUAGUAAACAUUUUGAAUGACUAUUUGGGGGAUUUGCUCCAUAAUAAAAUUGAAAGGCUGGGAUGUUUAGAAAAUAUUUAGAGGCUUUUAGCAAAGUGUAUUAAUGGGAAAAAAUGAUUUGAUGGGCAUACCCAUGAGAUAAUCUUGACCUAUUGAACUUGAAGAGGACACGGCUGCCGUGGAAAUUAAGUUCAAAUUAAGACAAUUCGUGGUUUCUGACCUACAGCAAUGAGUGAUAUUUUUAGGAACCUCUCUUGGAGUUUUUGAUAAUUAUUUAGUAUCCUUAAACUUCUAAAAUUAUCACUUACCUCCCUUAUCAUUCAAACUGAACGUCACAAGUCACCAAUUGAUAUUUUUACCCUCAAUACUAUAGGUUUAUUCUGGAAAAAUACUUUCCAACCAAAAGAAUUGGCAUGAUUUUCUUCUUUUUCUUUUUUUUUCUUUUGAAUUUUGCCCUGUUUUAAUAAAAAUGUCGCAUAUAUUAGUCCCAAUUCAGGAGAUUAUAUUUUUUAGCGUAAUUCUUUUAUGCCAGUUUACCUACCACAUUCCCCGCAUUAAUUUCAUUGCCUUCAUAUUAUUGGAAGAGUUUGUAUUUUCACUAGCGAAGUUGAGCUUGUUUAGGGUUUUUUUUCCUCCGCUCUCAAUUUUUUUUUCUUAGUUUUGGCUCUCAAAAAUUUCUGGUUGUGGCCUUGCAAUUAGAACCACUUUUUUUUUUUUACUAAUAUUGAAAGAUUUGGUGAAUCGGAUGACUUCCCACUUGAAUUUCAAGAGACCAAUCUUGUUCUCUCUAUUUCUUUACUUUAUAUUUUAAAAUCUGUUCAUCAAUGUUUCAAUUCUUUUCACCUCAACUCUCUCCAUAUGCAUUUCCAGCAACAUAAGUAUCCGUUCCGAUUUCAACAAUAAUGUGCAUAAUAGUUGUUAUUGUUAUAUUUAGUUGCAUUACAAUAACAAACACUACACAAAUUUUUCUUGAAUUUUAAAUCUUUUAUUAAUUCUAAUAUGGAUUUUGCAUAAUGAACGAACAAGACAACUGAAAGGGCAAUUUUGAAAUAAAAAUAUGCUCAAUUUACUUAAAUGAAUCAUUUAAUCUUACUUUGCUCCUAGUUAGGGGUAGUACAUGAAUCGAGUUGCUCGCAAGAAAUUCAGUCAAAGCUCUACUCGAACUCGAGUUUGAUUGAUACUCGAGUCAAUUAUUGAAUCGAAUUCAAGCAUCUAGGUAAUUGUUAAAUUACCUAAAAACCUAUAUUUUUAGCAAAAAUUGUCUUACCACUCGAGCUCGAAUUUGAUCUUAAUUUGCUUCUUGAGCACCUUUAUCUUUCACAUGAGCCGAGCUUGAGUUUCAAAGUUGAUGAGCUCAAACCUGAGUUCGAGCUCAAGUAAUGUCUUCAAGCUCAUCGAGCUCGAGCUUGAAUACAUUCUGUAUUUGAGUUUGACUCCGUUCAUUGCCAUUCCUAUCCUAGUCAUUGAACAUGUUACAAAAUAAUUUAUUUAGGGGAGGUUAAUGAGAUUUUCGAAAGUUUCGAAGUUCUAAGUGAUAUUCACAAGAACCUUAGGGAAGGUUUUCAAAAUUAUCCGAAGAAUCAAUUCAAAGCCAUUAAUGCGUGUGGCACAGAUUAACCUUAUCAAACAUGACCAUGUGCAUAAAACCCCCACUGGAGUUCAUUGCCAUACUAACUUAUUUCAGAUCUGAUGGAGACUUGGCUACUCUUAGCCUUGGCAUGGGCUGUUGCAUUGGCUUUUCUCUCAAAAGUAUCCACUCACAAACGCCUAAAGCUAAAUCAUCCACCAGGACCAAAACCAUGGCCUAUUAUUGGCAACUUGAAACUCCUAGGUUCAAUCCCACAUCAAUCCUUGCACUUGCUGUCCCAGAAAUAUGGAGAAAUCAUGCAACUAAAAUUUGGUUCCAGCCCUGUUGUAGUAGCUUCAUCCCCUGAAAUGGCAAAAGAAUUCUUGCAAACACAUGACAACAUCUUCGCCUCUCGGCCUACAACUGCUGCUGGCAAAUACACUAGCUAUAACUGCUCCGAUUUGACAUGGGCACCUUAUGGUCCAUUCUGGCGACAAGCUCGUAAACUUUAUCUAACCCAAAUAUUUAAUCCAAAGCGACUUGACUCCUUCGAGAGCAUACGCAUUGCAGAAAGGCGUGCUUUCAUUUCUAGCUUGUAUGCUCUCUCAGGAAAGCCAGUAGUUAUGAGAGAUCAUCUAACACGUCUUACCCUCUCCACUGCAAGCCAGAUGGUUUUGAGUAACAAGUACUUUGCGCAAUCUGAAGGGGAGGGAUCUCUACCUACCUUUGAAGAAUUCCAAGAGAUGAUAGAUACUUGGUAUUUGCUGAGUGGUGUGUUCAAUAUUGGGGAUUGGAUGGCUAGACAGAUUUGACCUCCAAGGUUAUGUAAAGCAAAUGAAAGAACUUCACCAGAAAUUUGAUAGAUUCCAUAACCAUGUGCUUGAUGAUCACCAGGCCAAAAGGAAAACGGAGAAGGAUUUUAUCCCUAAGGACAUGGUUGACAUUCUAUUGCAAUACGCUGAAGAUCCAGAUCUCCAGGUUAAACUCACCAGAGAUCAGAUAAAAGGGCUAAUUCAGGUGCUAUUUCUUCUCAUUGUUUAAUCAAAUUCCUAGGUCUCUGACUCUUUACCUCUUUAAGUUACUGAAUCUGAAAGCCAGCAGUCUUGCUUACUAUAAUGUGCCAUGAAAGAUAACAGUCUCCUUUCUUCUAAUUAAGAGUUUUUUAUUUCCUUUCUAGAUUAAUAGUAUUACAAUUUGUAGUAAAGUAUCAACAAUAUUUGAUCAUAGAGGCACUAACUUUACCAAUAUGUCAUGUUCAGGACUAACUUUACCAAUGUGUUGCCGACAUAACUAGGGAUGGCAACGGGGCGGGUACCCGCCCUGCGAGGGUUCAUUGGGGCGGGGGCGGGGGGAUUUUUUCCCCUCGUUUAGAAACGGGGCGGGGGUAUACUCCCUCGCCCCACUCCCACUCCGCCACCCGUUUGAAAUGUACAUAAUUAUAUAUAUAAUGAUAUUAUCAAUUAUACUACUAAUUAUACAUGUCUAUUAAUAAAAAUUAUUAAUUAUUUAUACUAAAUUUAUUAAUACAUUUAUAUUAAAUUCCUAACUACACUUAAUACAAUAACACUUUUUUCUAAAAAAAACUCAAUAAUAAUUUAGUGAUUGUAUUUGUAUCAAAAGUGAAAACUUGAUUAUUUUAGUUAUAUUUGUUUUAUUAUAUUAGAUUGUAUUUAAAUAACCUUUGUUUAUUUAUUUUUAUGAGUUUCAAUUGUGAAGUUACAAUGAAUAAUAAUUUGGUGAUGUGUUGAUAUUUUAGUAUUUGAUUAUUUGCUCAAAUUUAAUUAUAACAAAAUUAUAUAAUAAAAUUUUUUUAACCCCGCGGGGGAAGCGGGCGGGGCGGGGGGAAUUAAAAUGCAAUGGGGCGGGGUUGGGGGAGGUGUCCCCCGCCCCACCUCGCCUCAUUGCCACCCCUAGACAUAACGCGCUAUUAAAGAUAACUGUCUUCACCCUCCAAAAAAAAAAGAUAAUUGUCUUCUUUCAUCCUUCUGAUUAAGAGGGCUUUGUUGAAUUUUCCAAGAUUCCAAUAGGAGAUUUUUGAAUACAACUAUGAUAUAAAUGCGUACCAUUUAUAAAACUAAUCUCUGAAAAAAAAACCAUUAACUAGAUUCAUAUUGAUUCAUUGCUAUUUGAAUCCUUUAAAUCUUAGGCUGGCCUUUCAAAUCAACAUUUAUUCGUUUAUUCUUAAAGAGAGUUCUUCAAUUUCUCUCUGGUAUCUAGGAUAUAAGAACUAUUUUGCAAUACCAAAGUAUACGACAUAAAAAUGCAUGUGAUCUGGGGAUUAUAACUAUAAUAUAAAUAACUUUUCUAUUAUCUUUUGGUAUUUCUAUUUUAAUCCAUCAUAAAAAUAGAAAUUAUCCAUAAGUCUCUAUACAUUAAAAGUCAAUAAUGUAUAAAAGCCAAUAUCUUAUGAAAUACAUUAAAAUCCAAAUUAUAAUUGAUUACUUAAUUGGAUUUAAUCUGAUUUUACAAUUUGCAAUACAUAAUUAUUCAUAUAUAAGUCUAGCAUUGGAUCUAGGAUCCAACAGUUUUUUUCCUUCCAAUCUGUUGUAAAGCUUGAUACUUCACCAAUAUUUAAUCAUGGCAGGACUAACAUCUAACUUUACCAUUAUUUGAUCAUGGCCAGGACUUGCUGGUUGGUGGUACCGAUACCUCAGCCCUUACAGUAGAAUGGGCAUUGAAUGAACUUCUCAAACAUCCACGUCUCAUUCGAAAGGCAACCGAAGAGCUUGACAGAGUGAUAGGGAGAGAUAAGUGGGUGGAAGAGGCUGAUUUCUCAAAACUGCCUUUUCUAGAGGCGAUCAUAAAGGAAACUCUCAGGUUACAUCCACUGGCAACGCUACUUUCGCCCCGUUAUGCCCUCGAGGAUUGCACUGUAGCUGGUUAUAACAUUGCUAAAGGAACAACGGUGUUUAUAAACACAUGGAGUAUAGGGAGGAACUCAAAGUAUUGGGAUUCUCCAGAAGAAUUCAUUCCAGAGAGGUUUUUGGAGAAGGAUAUUGACAUGAAGGGACAAAACUUUGUGCUACUGCCCUUUGGCUCAGGUCGGAGGAUGUGCCCAGGCUAUAACCUUGGAAUCAAACUUAUUCGAUCAAUGUUGGCCAACUUGUUGCAUGGAUUCAACUGGAAAUUGCCUCAGGGCAUGAAACCAGAGGAAAUUUGCAUGGAAGAACACUACGGACUCACAACUCAUCCAAGGAUUCCACUUGCUAUGAUCCCAGAACCACGUUUGCCGGUCAAUCUCUAUUAGCGAGCAUGAUUUAAGGCAAAAUUGAAAUAUGUUCCUACUGUAUCAAUCAAAGGUUAAACUCAAUUG